Molecule: unclassified non-coding RNA, 200 nt
Filed under: soil metagenome
Description: partial contains internal transcribed spacer 2 and large subunit ribosomal RNA
Source: RNAcentral
UGCCUGUUCGAGCGUCAUAAUGACCACUCAAGCCUGGCUUGGUGUUGGGGCACGCGGCUCUGCGGCCCCUAAAAGCAGUGGCGGCGCACCUGGCUCUAAGCGUAGUAAUCUAUCUCGCUACAGGGUUCCGGUGGAGGCUUGCCAGAAACCUUAAUCUCACGGUUGACCUCGGAUCAGGUAGGGAUACCCGCUGAACUUAA